Molecule: unclassified non-coding RNA, 206 nt
Filed under: soil metagenome
Description: partial contains 5.8S ribosomal RNA, internal transcribed spacer 2, and large subunit ribosomal RNA
Source: RNAcentral
AACAAGGCGUACCUGCGGACCUGCGGAGGGAUCAUUACCGAGUUAUACAACUCAUCAACCCCUGUGAACUUACCUACAACGUUGCUUCGGCGGGAACAGACGGCCCCGUAAAACGGGCCGCCCCCGCCAGAGGACCCCUAACUCUGUUUUUAUAAUGUUUUUCUGAGUAAACAAGCAAAUAAAUUAAAACUUUUAACAACGGAUCU